AAACUAACUAGGAUUCCCUUAGUAACGGCGAGUGAACCGGGAUGAGCUCAAAUUUAAAAUCUGGCGUCUUUCAGGCGUCCGAGUUGUAAUCUAUAGAGGCGUUUUCCGCGCCGGACCGCGUCCAAGUCUCUUGGAAUAGAGUAUCAAAGAGGGUGACAAUCCCGUACUUGACGCGACAACCGGUGCUCUGUGAUACGUUCUCAAUGAGUCGAGUUGUUUGGGAAU
RNAcentral lists this ribosomal RNA (225 nucleotides) under uncultured yeast. RNAcentral's name for it is "partial 26S ribosomal RNA". It matches the Rfam family "Eukaryotic large subunit ribosomal RNA", at positions 62 to 281 of the family's 3401-position model. Lineage: Eukaryota; Fungi. The record is from RNAcentral.